AGCGCAGGUGGUUGUAUAAGUCUGAAGUAAAAGGCAGUGGCUCAACCAUUGUGUGCUUUGGAAACUGUACAACUUGAGUGCAGAAGGGGAGAGUGGAAUUCCAUGUGUAGCGGUGAAAUGCGUAGAUAUAUGGAGGAACACCGGUGGCGAAAGCGGCUCUCUGGUCUGUAGCUGACACUGAGGCUCGAAAGCGUGGGGAGCAAACGA
Molecule: ribosomal RNA, 207 nt
Filed under: uncultured bacterium
Lineage: Bacteria
Description: partial 16S ribosomal RNA
Rfam family: Bacterial small subunit ribosomal RNA
Source: RNAcentral